RNAcentral lists this ribosomal RNA (457 nucleotides) under Veillonella atypica. Its description in RNAcentral is "bacterial SSU rRNA". It matches the Rfam family "Bacterial small subunit ribosomal RNA", at positions 28 to 462 of the family's 1533-position model. The record is from RNAcentral. Lineage: Bacteria; Bacillati; Bacillota; Negativicutes; Veillonellales; Veillonellaceae.
GACGAACGCUGGCGGCGUGCUUAACACAUGCAAGUCGAACGAAGAGCGAUGGAAGCUUGCUUCUAUCAAUCUUAGUGGCGAACGGGUGAGUAACGCGUAAUCAACCUGCCCUUCAGAGGGAGACAACAGUUGGAAACGACUGCUAAUACCGCAUACGAUCCAAUCUCGGCAUCGAGACUGGAUGAAAGGUGGCCUCUAUUUAUAAGCUAUCACUGAAGGAGGGGAUUGCGUCUGAUUAGCUAGUUGGAGGGGUAACGGCCCACCAAGGCGAUGAUCAGUAGCCGGUCUGAGAGGAUGAACGGCCACAUUGGGACUGAGACACGGCCCAGACUCCUACGGGAGGCAGCAGUGGGGAAUCUUCCGCAAUGGACGAAAGUCUGACGGAGCAACGCCGCGUGAGUGAUGACGGCCUUCGGGUUGUAAAGCUCUGUUAAUCGGGACGAAUGGUUCUUGUGCA